RNAcentral lists this ribosomal RNA (253 nucleotides) under uncultured bacterium. RNAcentral describes it as "partial 16S ribosomal RNA". It matches the Rfam family "Bacterial small subunit ribosomal RNA", at positions 524 to 776 of the family's 1533-position model. The record is from RNAcentral.
UACGUAGGGGGCAAGCGUUGUCCGGAUUUAUUGGGCGUAAAGAGCGUGUAGGCGGCCUGACAGGUCAGCUGUGAAAACUCGAGGCUCAACCUCGAGACGCCGAUGGAAACCAUCUGACUAGAGUCCGGAAGAGGAGAGUGGAAUUCCUGGUGUAGCGGUGAAAUGCGCAGAUAUCAGGAAGAACACCCGUGGCUAAGGCGGCUCUCUAGUACGGUACUGACGCUGAGACGCGAAAGCGUGGGGAGCGAACAGG